Molecule: ribosomal RNA, 253 nt
Filed under: uncultured bacterium
Lineage: Bacteria
Description: partial 16S ribosomal RNA
Rfam family: Bacterial small subunit ribosomal RNA
Source: RNAcentral
UACAGAGGGGGCAAGCGUUAUUCGGAAUUAUUGGGCGUAAAGGGCGCGUAGGCGGUUUUUUAAGUCGGAUGUGUAAUCCCCGGGCUCAACCUGGGAACUGCAUCCGAGACUGGGAGACUAGAGUACUGGAGAGGGUGGUGGAAUUCCUCGUGUAGCGGUGAAAUGCGUAGAGAUGAGGAGGAACACCAGUGGCGAAGGCGGCCACCUGGACAGUAACUGACGCUGAGGCGCGAAAGUGUGGGUAGCAAACAGG